GUGCACCAGGCGCGAAACCUUCGCAAUGCGGGAAACCGCGACGAGGGGACUCCCAGUGCCUACGCUCAGCGUAGGCUGUUCCCGAGCCUAGAAAGCUCGGGGAGUAAGGGCUGGGUAAGACGGGUGCCAGCCGCCGCGGUAAUACCCGCAGCCCGAGUGGUGGCCACUAUUAUUGGGCCUAAAGCGUCCGUAGCCGGCCCGGUAAAUGCCAGGGUAAAUCGUGAGGCCUAACCUCACGAAUUCCGGGUAGACUGCCGGGCUAGGGACCGGAGGAGGGAGAGGGUACUCCAGGGGUAGGGGUGAAAUCCUGUAAUCCCUGGAGGACCACCGGUGGCGAAGGCGCUCUCCUAGGACGGGUCCGACGGUGAGGGACGAAAGCCAGGGGAGCGAACCGGAUUAGAUACCCGGGUAGU
RNAcentral lists this ribosomal RNA (413 nucleotides) under uncultured microorganism. RNAcentral's name for it is "bacterial SSU rRNA". It matches the Rfam family "Archaeal small subunit ribosomal RNA", at positions 330 to 745 of the family's 1478-position model. The record is from RNAcentral.